RNAcentral lists this transfer RNA (70 nucleotides) under Salmo salar (Atlantic salmon). It matches the Rfam family "tRNA". Rfam says of the family: Transfer RNA (tRNA) molecules are approximately 80 nucleotides in length. Their secondary structure includes four short double-helical elements and three loops (D, anti-codon, and T loops). The record is from Rfam by way of RNAcentral. Lineage: Eukaryota; Metazoa; Chordata; Actinopteri; Salmoniformes; Salmonidae.
UCUUCUGUAGCUCAGUUGGUAGAGCAUGGCGCUUGCACCGCCAGGGUUGUGGGUUUGAUUCCCAGUAGAG